AACGAACGCUGGCGGCAUGCCUAACACAUGCAAGUCGAACGAGACCUUCGGGUCUAGUGGCGCACGGGUGCGUAACGCGUGGGAACCUGCCCUUAGGUUCGGAAUAACUCCCCGAAAGGGGUGCUAAUACCGGAUAAUGUCUUCGGACCAAAGAUUUAUCGCCUUUGGAUGGGCCCGCGUUGGAUUAGCUAGUUGGUAGGGUAAAAGCCUACCAAGGCGACGAUCCAUAGCUGGUCUGAGAGGAUGAUCAGCCACACUGGGCCUGAGACACGGCCCAGACUCCUACGGGAGGCAGCAGUGGGGAAUAUUGGACAAUGGGCGAAAGCCUGAUCCAGCAAUGCCGCGUGAGUGAUGAAGGCCUUAGGGUUGUAAAGCUCUUUUACCCGGGAUGAUAAUGACAGUACCGGGAGAAUAAGCUCCGGCUAACUCCGUG
Molecule: ribosomal RNA, 433 nt
Filed under: uncultured bacterium
Lineage: Bacteria
Description: partial 16S ribosomal RNA
Rfam family: Bacterial small subunit ribosomal RNA
Source: RNAcentral